GCCUCAUUAGCUAAGUGGAUAUAGCGUCUGACUUCUAAUCAGAAGGUCGUGGGUUCGACCCCCUCAUGAGGCA
Molecule: transfer RNA, 73 nt
Organism: Monoraphidium neglectum
Lineage: Eukaryota; Viridiplantae; Chlorophyta; Chlorophyceae; Sphaeropleales; Selenastraceae
Rfam family: tRNA
About the family: Transfer RNA (tRNA) molecules are approximately 80 nucleotides in length. Their secondary structure includes four short double-helical elements and three loops (D, anti-codon, and T loops). Further hydrogen bonds mediate the characteristic L-shaped molecular structure. tRNAs have two regions of fundamental functional importance: the anti-codon, which is responsible for specific mRNA codon recognition, and the 3' end, to which the tRNAs corresponding amino acid is attached (by aminoacyl-tRNA synthetases). tRNAs cope with the degeneracy of the genetic code in two manners: having more than one tRNA (with a specific anti-codon) for a particular amino acid; and 'wobble' base-pairing, i.e. permitting non-standard base-pairing at the 3rd anti-codon position.
Source: Rfam